UCAUGCUGUCCAGCAGGGUCUUUUUUCUUUAGUUAGUCUGGGUAAUGGGUAGCCAGAGAGACACACAUUUUACUGUGUGGGCAUUGAUUUCCUCCAGUCGUGCAGAGGGGUUUUACGAAACUAGCUGGGCCAUAUCAGGCAGUAUACUCCCAGCGUUGAGAAGGUGCUCGACGUGAGAAUUGGAACACGUGAGACCGCGCUGUACAUGAGUGUUCCACUUGAUGGAAUCAGCAAUUAUUUUGUGGGCCUAGUGUUGGCAUUGGUUUGAAGUCGGCGUUAUCCAGUAUCGUUGUCCAGUGAUAUACCUAUGUUUCUGGGGCUGUUAGUGUUGUGUUGUGUAUGGAGGCCUGGUAGUGCCAAGGGUGACGUAUCGUUCAAUUGAAUUGUGCUGAGUAGCCAAACGUAGCGUUGAUUUUGAGUUUCAGUAAAUUAACAUUUGAUCAAAAAGGAAUUUGAGAAAUUUUGCAUUGACAAAACAUAAUUUACUACUGUUUAACUUUUUCUAUAGUUAGCGGAAUUUGCUACUAUUUUGAACCAUUUUGUAAUUCAUUUAUUACCAGUAACAUUUUCAGCCUGAACUGACAUAUCUGUUGCAUUGACUAUUAAAUUGUCUUGACAGUUAUACGUUAUUUUGACUGUCAAUAUUGCCAGGUUUAUUAUAUCAAUUUAUAUUUUCUUCCUCGGUGGGUGUGUGUGCGUGUGUGUGGAUGUGAAAGUGUGAUUUCUUUGUGUUUUUUAAACAUCUUUAUAUUUCUUUUCUUAUUGCUAAAUAAAUUUUCUUUUUAU
Molecule: long non-coding RNA, 786 nt
Organism: Ostrea edulis (European flat oyster)
Lineage: Eukaryota; Metazoa; Mollusca; Bivalvia; Ostreida; Ostreidae
Exons: 2
Source: RefSeq, a predicted model, not a curated record